UACGAAGGGUGCUAGCGUUGUUCGGAAUGACUGGGCGUAAAGGGUGCGUAGGCGGCUGGAUGCGUCUGAUGUGAAAUCCCUGGGCUUAACCUAGGAACUGCAUUGGAUACGGUCUGGCUAGAGCUUGCUAGAGGAAGAUGGAAUUGUGCGUGUAGAGGUGAAAUUCGUAGAUAUGCACAAGAACACCGGUGGCGAAGGCGAUCUUCUGGAGUAUAGCUGACGCUAAGGCACGAAAGCGUGGGGAGCAAACAGGAUUAGAUACCCUGGUAGUCCACGCUGUAAACGAUGAAUAUUAGAUGUCGGGAGGGUUACCUUUCGGUAUCGCAGCUAACGCAUUAAAUAUUCCGCCUGGGGAGUACGGUCGCAAGAUUA
This 372-nucleotide ribosomal RNA is filed under the name uncultured prokaryote. Its description in RNAcentral is "bacterial SSU rRNA". It matches the Rfam family "Bacterial small subunit ribosomal RNA", at positions 524 to 896 of the family's 1533-position model. The record is from RNAcentral.